CAUUAGAUGGCUGAAAGUAAGUAAUGGAAUUUUAAACCAUAUUAUAAUAAGUUAACGUUUAUUUCUAAUG
RNAcentral lists this transfer RNA (70 nucleotides) under Aulacophora indica. RNAcentral describes it as "tRNA-Lys". Lineage: Eukaryota; Metazoa; Arthropoda; Insecta; Coleoptera; Chrysomelidae. The record is from RNAcentral.